This 610-nucleotide ribosomal RNA is filed under the name uncultured bacterium. Its description in RNAcentral is "bacterial SSU rRNA". It matches the Rfam family "Bacterial small subunit ribosomal RNA", at positions 262 to 872 of the family's 1533-position model. The record is from RNAcentral.
GGCUCACCAAGGCGACGAUCAGUAGGGGAUCUGAGAGGAUGGCCCCCCACACUGGUACUGAGAUACGGACCAGACUCCUACGGGAGGCAGCAGUAAGGAAUAUUGGACAAUGGGCGGAAGCCUGAUCCAGCCAUGCCGCGUGCAGGAAGACGGCCCUACGGGUUGUAAACUGCUUUUGUAAGGGAAUAAUAAGGCGGACGAGCUCCGUCGAUGAAGGUACCUUACGAAUAAGCAUCGGCUAACUCCGUGCCAGCAGCCGCGGUAAUACGGAGGAUGCAAGCGUUAUCCGGAUUUAUUGGGUUUAAAGGGUGCGUAGGCGGCCUGUUAAGUCAGGGGUGAAAGGUUGCGGCUUAACCGCAGAAUUGCCUUUGAUACUGGCAGGCUUGAAUAAAGUUGAGGUAGGCGGAAUGUGGCAAGUAGCGGUGAAAUGCAUAGAGAUGCCACAGAACACCGAUUGCGAAGGCAGCUUACUAAGCUUUGAUUGACGCUGAGGCACGAAAGCGUGGGGAUCAAACAGGAUUAGAUACCCUGGUAGUCCACGCAGUAAACGAUGAGAACUAGCUGUUGGCGAUAGAAUGUCAGCGGCACAGCGAAAGCGUUAAGUCUCCAC